AUUGAACGCUGGCGGCAGGCCUAACACAUGCCAGUCGAGCGGAGCGGCGGACGGGUGAGUAAUGCCUAGGAAUCUGCCUGGUAGUGGGGGAUAACGUCCGGAAACGGGAGCUAAUACCGCAUACUAUCAGAUGAGCCUAGGUCGGUUUAGCUAGUUGGUGGGGUAAAGGCCUACCAAGGAGAAGAUCCGUAACUGGUCGGAGAGGAUGAUCAGUCACAUUGGAACUGAGAUAGGGUCCAGACUCCGAAGGGAGGAAGCAGUGGGGAAUAGUGGACAAUGGGCGAAAGCCUGAGCCAGCCAUGCCGCGUGUGUGAAGAAGGUCUUCGGAUUGUAAAGCACUUUAAGUUGGGAGGCGUUACCAACAGAAUAAGCACCGGCUAACUUCGUGCCAGCAGCCGCGGUAAUAC
This 407-nucleotide ribosomal RNA is filed under the name uncultured bacterium. RNAcentral's name for it is "partial 16S ribosomal RNA". It matches the Rfam family "Bacterial small subunit ribosomal RNA", at positions 30 to 526 of the family's 1533-position model. The record is from RNAcentral.